UAGUCAUAUGCUUGUCUCAAAGAUUAAGCCAUGCAUGUCUCAGUACUUGCUUUUACAAGGCGAAACCGCGAAUGGCUCAUUAAAUCAGUUAUGGUUCACUAGAUCGUAAAUUUUACACGGAUAACUGUGGUAAUUCUAGAGCUAAUACGUGAUUCAAGCUCGCUUCCUUGUGGAGCGAGCGCAGUUAUUAGAUCAAAACCGAUCCGGCCUUCUGGUCGGUAAAAUUGGUGACUCUGAAUAACCGAAGCGGAGCGCAUGGUCUCGUACCGGCGCCAGAUCUUUCAAGUGUCUGACUUAUCAGCUUGUUGUUAGGUUAUGUUCCUAACAAGGCUUCAACGGGUAACGGGGUAUCAGGGUCCGAUACCGGAGAGGGAGCCUGAGAAACGGCUACCACAUCCAAGGAAGGCAGCAGGCGCGCAAAUUACCCACUCCUAGCACAGGGAGGUAGUGACGAAAAAUAACGAUGCGAGGGCUAAUAGCUUCUCGUAAUCGGAAUGGGUACACUUUAAAUCCUUUAACGAGGAUCUAUUGGGGGGCAAGUCUGGUGCCAGCAGCC
RNAcentral lists this ribosomal RNA (556 nucleotides) under uncultured eukaryote. Its description in RNAcentral is "SSU rRNA". It matches the Rfam family "Eukaryotic small subunit ribosomal RNA", at positions 21 to 575 of the family's 1831-position model. The record is from RNAcentral.